RNAcentral lists this ribosomal RNA (527 nucleotides) under Clostridium botulinum. RNAcentral's name for it is "partial 23S ribosomal RNA". It matches the Rfam family "Bacterial large subunit ribosomal RNA", at positions 1 to 524 of the family's 2925-position model. The record is from RNAcentral. Lineage: Bacteria; Bacillati; Bacillota; Clostridia; Eubacteriales; Clostridiaceae.
AAUUUUAAGGUCAAGCUACAAAGGGCGCAUGGUGAAUGCCUUGGCACUAGGAGCCGAAGAAGGACGCGAUAAGCUGCGAUAAGCCUUGGGUAGCCGCAAAUAGGCUGAGAUCCAGGGAUUUCCGAAUGAGGAAACUCACAUGGGUAACCCCAUGUAUCAUGCACUGAAUACAUAGGUGUAUGAGGGUAAACCCGGGGAACUGAAACAUCUAAGUACCCGGAGGAAGAGAAAGAAAAAUCGAUUUCCUAAGUAGCGGCGAGCGAACGGGAAAGAGCCCAAACCAGAAACUUGUUUCUGGGGUUGUGGAUAGAUCAUGAAAGAAGAGGUAUCUUAAUCGAAGAGGGCUGGAACGCCCUACCAUAGAAGGUAAUAGUCCUGUAGAUAAAAAGAGAAAACUUUAAGAUCUAAUCCAGAGUACCACGAGACACGUGAAACCUUGUGGGAAGCAGGGAGGACCACCUCCCAAGGCUAAAUACUACCUAGUGACCGAUAGUGAAGCAGUACCGUGAGGGAAAGGUGAAAAGAAC